UCUGGCGGCCUUAGCGCAGUGGUCCCACCUGACCCCAUGCCGAACUCAGAAGUGAAACGCCGUAGCGCCGAUG
Molecule: ribosomal RNA, 73 nt
Filed under: Shigella boydii
Lineage: Bacteria; Pseudomonadati; Pseudomonadota; Gammaproteobacteria; Enterobacterales; Enterobacteriaceae
Source: RNAcentral